GUGGUAUUAGGGUUUCAAGAGGGUGAGAGGAAGCUGCAGGCAUUCUGGAGACCUUGCUUGAAAGUAGUGCAGCAUUAUUUUUGAUGCACUGUAUUGGUUAAAGGAAAUCAGGUAGACUGGCCAUAUGUGGGAAGUAGGGAAAUAGGCUCUGCCUUUUUUGAUGAAGAAUUUGUGACUAUUUUUUAUUGUCUACAAACCCUUAUAUAGUAAGUGCUCAAUAAAUGGUUGUUGAAUUGCAUGAAUGAAUGGAGAAAGUGGGUUGGAGUCCUGAAAAAGAAGAAGAUAUUGGCAAAGCUGCUAUUGAAAAUGGAAAAAGGAACCAAUCAUGGGCAGAGUCUCACUCUGUCACCCAGGCUGGAGUGCAGUGGUACAAUCAUAGCUUACAGCAGCUUUGAAUUCCUGGGCUCCAGUGAUCUACCCUCCUCAACCUCCUGAGCAACUGGAACUUGAGGUUCGUGCUGCCACACCCAGCUAAUUAAAAAAAAAAAGUUUUUUCAUAGAGAGAGGGUCUCACUAUGUUAUCCAGGCUUGUCUUAAACUGCUGGCCUCAAACAGUCCUCCCACUUUGGCUUCCCAAAGUGCUGGGAUUACAAGUAAUUUUUAAUUGUGAAAAUCCAAAAAAUUUCUUAGGGUCACAAAAAGAAAAGUCAGAUUUAUUGAAAUCCUGUGUUAAGUUAGAGUUUACUAUUUCUCUUAAAAAUUGACAUUUCCCCUCCCCAUUCACCUCUUCUCAUGCCCUUAUACAUCCUUCCUUGAAAUUUCCAGGAAGCACUGAAAGUUUUUCAGCAGUCUGCAACCAGUAAUCCUGUUUCUAUUUAUAGGAUUUUAAAUCUUGCCUUCAAAGGUACUCA
Molecule: long non-coding RNA, 851 nt
Filed under: Callithrix jacchus (white-tufted-ear marmoset)
Lineage: Eukaryota; Metazoa; Chordata; Mammalia; Primates; Cebidae
Description: lncRNA (ENSCJAG00000080827.1)
Source: RNAcentral